This is a long non-coding RNA of Homo sapiens (human), 886 nucleotides long. RefSeq lists it as uncharacterized. The record is from RefSeq and is a predicted model, not a curated record. NCBI's taxonomy places the organism in Eukaryota, Metazoa, Chordata, Mammalia, Primates, Hominidae. The transcript is spliced from 3 exons.
GCCCAGGUAACUCUGAAUUUCAGAUAACCAACGAAUAACUUUGUGUGAUACUAUAUUUGUACUCAAAAGUAACUCGUUUAUCUGAAAUUCAAAGUUGACGGCGCAUGUGGUACUGUAUUGAAUCUGGCAACGCUCCACCUUGGUUUUCCUACCCGGGUUUGUGGAAGGGGCUCCCCCUGCCCCGCAGGUGCCGCCCCGAGGAGGUGGAGGAGGAGGAGCCGGGCACUGACUGGGGACCCAGGCAACGAAAGCAAGCGCUGCAAAGACGAAGGGGAGCGCCCAAGGAUGAGGAACGUUCCAAGACACUGAGUGAUUUGCUGAAAAUCACACAUCUAGAUGCAAAGCCAGAAUGCGAGCAGUGACCACCACACUUGACAAAUCCGUUGUUGCACACAUUUGUACUCUUCAAUCAACAAAACCUGAUGCAAAAAACAGAAAAGGGGGAGAUGUACAUGCAUUUUCCCUCACUGCAAAAAAAACACAACUUGUUUAACUACAGGUGUGUUCCUGGUGGUCUUUGAAUGAAGACAUUGACAGAAAGUAACAUAGCAUGCUGGUUAAAGACUGUUUUUAUUCGAAUCCUGGCUUUGCCAAUCAACAGCUGCAUAAAUUAAACUCUCGACCUCAGCUCCCUUAUUUGUAAAACAAGAAUAACAAAAAGACAUUUUUAUAAGGUUGGGUUGAAGGUUAAAUGAAAUAACAGAAGAUUAUCUCUUCACUAAUUUUAGCUGUAGAAAACAGAAGCCAAUCGAAAGAGCUCCCAGUCCAAAGCUGGAACAACUUGAACAACAAAAUAAAUAAUGUAGCAUUGGAUUACAAACCAACCAUAAAACAAAUAUCCAUGAGUCUAUACUGAUGUCAAUAAAUGAAUAAAUGUGGGAAAAUA